RNAcentral lists this ribosomal RNA (432 nucleotides) under uncultured eukaryote. RNAcentral's name for it is "bacterial SSU rRNA". It matches the Rfam family "Eukaryotic small subunit ribosomal RNA", at positions 592 to 1017 of the family's 1831-position model. The record is from RNAcentral.
CAAUAGCGUAUAUUAAAGUUGUUGCAGUUAAAAGCUCGUAGUUGAAUUUCGGCGUGAAGAGACUUGGUCGGCGGCACUGCCGUUUGUUUUUUACUGAGUUGCUCUUUCGCUUUCUGGCGGCAAACGGAUCUGCACUUAAUUGGGUGGGUUCGGGAACCGUCUCUUUUACUGUGAAAAAAUUAGAGUGUUUAAGGCAGGCAUUUAUUGCUCUGAAUACAUUAGCAUGGAAUAAUAAGAUAGGACGUUGUAUACUAUUUUGUUGGUUUGCGUAUCUACGUAAUGAUUAAUAGGGAUAGUUGGGGGUAUUCGUAUUGCGAUGUCAGAGGUGAAAUUCUUAGAUUUUCGCAAGACGAACUACUGCGAAAGCAUUUACCAAGGAUGUUUUCAUUAAUCAAGAACGAAAGUUAGGGGAUCGAAGAUGAUUAGAUACCA